AACGAACGCUGGCGGCAGGCCUAACACAUGCAAGUCGAACGCUCCGCAAGGGGAGUGGCAGACGGGUGAGUAACACGUGGGAACCUUCCCAUCGCUACGGAAUAGCUCAGGGAAACUUGGGGUAAUACCGUAUACGCCCGAAAGGGGAAAGAUUUAUCGGCGAUGGAUGGGCCCGCGGCUGAUUAGCUAGUUGGUGAGGUAACGGCUCACCAAGGCGACGAUCAGUAGCUGGUCUGAGAGGACGACCAGCCACACUGGGACUGAGACACGGCCCAGACUCCUACGGGAGGCAGCAGUGGGGAAUAUUGGACAAUGGGCGCAAGCCUGAUCCAGCCAUGCCGCGUGAGUGACGAAGGUCUUCGGAUUGUAAAGCUCUUUUGGCGGGGACGAUAAUGACGGUACCCGCAGAAUAAGCCCCGGCUAACUUCGUGCCAGCAGCCGCGGUAAU
This 448-nucleotide ribosomal RNA is filed under the name uncultured bacterium. Its description in RNAcentral is "bacterial SSU rRNA". It matches the Rfam family "Bacterial small subunit ribosomal RNA", at positions 29 to 524 of the family's 1533-position model. The record is from RNAcentral.